UUUUUUUUUUGGUGAAAUUCAGUCAAAGUGAGUUGAUUAGGUGAGUUAAAUGUUCUUUAUCUUUUUCGAGACAUUAUUGAGAUAAUUAGUGUUUACCAAAUCGGUGAGUUGGUCAAAUUGACGGAUAGAUUGACCAUUUUUAAAGAAUAUGUUUGAAUUUUAAUUUGCAUUCUAUUUAAUUUAUAAUUUGUUUAGUUAUUAUGGACCAUAAAGCCUUCAAGAAUUUGAAUGCAAACGUUAUUAUUUUUGUUUUUUUGAGGUUAAG
This 265-nucleotide long non-coding RNA is filed under the name Salvia miltiorrhiza (redroot sage). RNAcentral's name for it is "long non-coding RNA (SMIL_LNC012076)". The record is from RNAcentral. Lineage: Eukaryota; Viridiplantae; Streptophyta; Magnoliopsida; Lamiales; Lamiaceae.